This 386-nucleotide ribosomal RNA is filed under the name uncultured archaeon. Its description in RNAcentral is "bacterial SSU rRNA". It matches the Rfam family "Archaeal small subunit ribosomal RNA", at positions 85 to 475 of the family's 1478-position model. The record is from RNAcentral.
ACUGCUCAGUAACACGUCGAUAAUCUGCCCUUAGGCCAGGGAUAACCUUGGGAAACUGAGGCUAAAACCUGAUAGGAGAAUUCUACUGGAAUGUGUUUUCUCCCAAAGGCAACACCUAAGGAUGAGUUGGCGGCGGAUUAGCUUGUUGGUGGGGUAAUGGCCCACCAAGGCUUUGAUCCGUAGGGGCCUUGAAAGAGGUAGCCCCGAGAAGGGUACUGAGAUACUGACCCUAGCCCCACGGGGUGCAGCAGGCGCGAAACCUUUACACUACACGAAAGUGUGAUAAGGGGAUUCCAAGUGCUUAUACAAAGUAUAAGCUUUUUUUAAGGGCAAAGUCCUUGAAGAAUAAGUGGUGGGUAAGACCGGUGCCAGCAGCCGCGGUAAUA